Molecule: ribosomal RNA, 253 nt
Filed under: uncultured bacterium
Lineage: Bacteria
Description: partial 16S ribosomal RNA
Rfam family: Bacterial small subunit ribosomal RNA
Source: RNAcentral
UACGUAGGUGGCAAGCGUUGUCCGGAUUCAUUGGGUUUAAAGGGUGCGUAGGCGGAACGAUAAGUCAGUGGUGAAAGCCCUCAGCUUAACUGAGGAACUGCCAUUGAUACUGUCGAUCUUGAGUACAUUUGAUGUGGGCGGAAUGUGUCAUGUAGCGGUGAAAUGCUUAGAUAUGACACAGAACACCGAUUGCGAAGGCAGCUCACAAAACUGUAACUGACGCUGAGGCACGAAAGCGUGGGGAGCGAACAGG